CCUACGGGGGGCAGCAGUGAGGAAUAUUGGUCAAUGGGCGCGAGCCUGAACCAGCCAAGUAGCGUGAAGGAUGACUGCCCUACGGGUUGUAAACUUCUUUUAUAAAGGAAUAAAGUGAGGCACGUGUGCCUUUUUGUAUGUCCUCUAUGAAUAAGGAUCGGCUAACCCGGUCCCAGCAGCCGCGGAAAUACGGAGGAUGCGGGCUUUAUCCGGAUUUAGUGGGGUAAAAGGGUGCUUAGUGGGAAUAUCAAGUAAGCGUGAAAAAUUCGGGGCUCAACCCCGUCGUGCCGUUGAAACUGAUGUUCUUGAGUGGGCGAGAGGUAUGCGGAAUGCGUGGUGUAGCGGUGAAAUGCAUAGAUAUCACGAAGAACUCCGAUUGCGAAGGCAGCAUACCGGAGACCAACUGACGCUGAAGCACGAAAGCGUGGGUAUCGAACAGGAUUAGAUACCCUAGUAGUC
Molecule: ribosomal RNA, 459 nt
Filed under: uncultured bacterium
Lineage: Bacteria
Description: partial 16S ribosomal RNA
Rfam family: Bacterial small subunit ribosomal RNA
Source: RNAcentral